RNAcentral lists this ribosomal RNA (264 nucleotides) under uncultured bacterium. Its description in RNAcentral is "partial 16S ribosomal RNA". It matches the Rfam family "Bacterial small subunit ribosomal RNA", at positions 793 to 1055 of the family's 1533-position model. The record is from RNAcentral.
GUCCACGCCGUAAACGAUGGGCGCUAGGUGUGGGAGGUGUCGACUCCUUCCGUGCCGCAGCUAACGCAUUAAGCGCCCCGCCUGGGGAGUACGGCCGCAAGGCUAAAACUCAAAGGAAUUGACGGGGGCCCCGCACAAGCAGCGGAGCAUGUGGUUUAAUUGGAUGCAACGCCAAGAACCUUACCAAGGCUUGACAUGGUCGAGAAAGCCGGAGAAAUUCGGUCCUCCUUCGGGACUCGAUCACAGGUGGUGCAUGGCUGUCGU